GUGCUCAUUUUGGCAACGCAUAUACUAAAUAUGUUGCCAAAUGUUACAGAGAAGAUAAGCAUGGCCCCGUGUGAGGGCGACACACAGGUUUGCGAAGCAGUCCAUAUUUUU
This is a small nuclear RNA of Pteropus vampyrus (large flying fox), 111 nucleotides long. The record is from Ensembl. NCBI's taxonomy places the organism in Eukaryota, Metazoa, Chordata, Mammalia, Chiroptera, Pteropodidae.